GUGCACCAGGCGAGAAACUUUACAAUGUGCGAAAGCACGAUAAGGGAACUCUGAGUGCCUCCUAAGGAGGCUGUUCAGGUGUCUAAAAGCACCUGAAGGAAGGGCUGGGUAAGACCGGUGCCAGCCGCCGCGGUAACACCGGCAGCCCAAGGUGGUAGCCACGGUUUAUUGGGUCUAAAGCGUCCGUAGCCGGCUGGGGU
RNAcentral lists this ribosomal RNA (200 nucleotides) under uncultured microorganism. Its description in RNAcentral is "partial 16S ribosomal RNA". It matches the Rfam family "Archaeal small subunit ribosomal RNA", at positions 330 to 535 of the family's 1478-position model. The record is from RNAcentral.